This 22-nucleotide small nuclear RNA is filed under the name Arabidopsis thaliana (thale cress). Its description in RNAcentral is "snRNA_09904". The record is from RNAcentral. Lineage: Eukaryota; Viridiplantae; Streptophyta; Magnoliopsida; Brassicales; Brassicaceae.
AAAUAGCAAAUAUUUACACAGA